GACGAACGCUGGCGGCGUGCUUAACACAUGCAAGUCGAACGGAAAGGCCCUGCUUUUGUGGGGUGCUCGAGUGGCGAACGGGUGAGUAACACGUGAGUAACCUGCCCUUUACUUUGGGAUAACUUCAGGAAACUUGGGCUAAUACCGGAUAGGAGCUCCUGCUUCAUGGUGGGGGUUGGAAAGUUUCGGCGGUUGGGGAUGGACUCGCGGCUUAUCAGCUUGUUGGUGGGGUAGUGGCUUACCAAGGCUUUGACGGGUAGCCGGCCUGAGAGGGUGACCGGCCACAUUGGGACUGAGAUACGGCCCAGACUCCUACGGGAGGCAGCAGUGGGGAAUAUUGCACAAUGGGCGGAAGCCUGAUGCAGCAACGCCGCGUGCGGGAUGACGGCCUUCGGGUUGUAAACCGCUUUCGCCUGUGACGAAGCGUGAGUGACGGUAAUGGGUAAAGAAGCACCGGCUAACUACGUG
Molecule: ribosomal RNA, 468 nt
Filed under: uncultured bacterium
Lineage: Bacteria
Description: partial 16S ribosomal RNA
Rfam family: Bacterial small subunit ribosomal RNA
Source: RNAcentral